Molecule: long non-coding RNA, 15436 nt
Filed under: Coffea arabica (coffee)
Lineage: Eukaryota; Viridiplantae; Streptophyta; Magnoliopsida; Gentianales; Rubiaceae
Description: long non-coding RNA (CARA_LNC005952)
Source: RNAcentral
AUUGUGAUUUAAAAGAAAAAAUGGGUCUAAAUGGGGGGUUGAGAAUGCGACGAUUUGACCCAAAAUUAUAGUUUAAAAAGGGUUUUUGAAAUAAAAAUUAGAGUCGCCACUUGGUAAUGAGUUAAGGUGUACCAAGUCACCUAAAAAUGAAUUUUUAGAAAAAAUAGGAAAAAGUAGUAAGAAACCCCUUUUAAACGACUUCUAGUUCACGUAAACCAACGAAAAAGGUUCGGGAGUCACAUUUGACGAAGGGGAAGGCAAGGAUAAAAAUCCAAGGCACCCCUUCGACCUAGCCAAGGCUAGUUGCGUUGAUUUAAUCAAAGAUUUUCUUGUUUUAACCAAAGAAUUUAUUACAUUUGGAUGUACUACAUGAAUGCAAACCCUAGGCCUAGGGGUAUUGGGGAAAUUUCUCUUCAAAGGUUGAGUGGUGCCAAUCACAUUAAUUGUGAAGCCCAAUAACGAUCCUUUGAAGAAGUCACGAAUAAUGCGAGUGGGAUGCAAAUGAAUGGAAUGCAUGUAUGCAAUGUGAGGACAUGAGCUUGAAAAAGUAAUAAAAGACAAUAAAUAUGUAAAUGAAAAUGUGCACGUGAGUGGGCAAGGUACGGUAUGUGAAAUGAUAAUAUGAAGUGCAUGUGUGCAAGUGAUGAUAAAAGUGUUCGUGUGCAAAUAAAGAAACAUAAAGGUGCACGUGUGCAAAAUGGGAGGAAAAAUGAAAGUGUGAUGAGGGUAUAAAAUGGUAGAGUGGAUUUAAAGAUGCAUGAGCCUAGGGAAUUCAUGCAUAUUGGGUACGGGGAGACCUAAAUCGUGACUCAAUUUGCCCUUUUAUAGAGGGAAUACAAGCGUGCUAAGACUUAGAAAAAGCCACACUCGUCUAUAUCCCAUAUUUAAGGGGACUCUCAAGCAAAUGAACCCUAUAACUAGCAUGAAAAUGCAAAAAUCCUAAAAUGGAGGGAAAAGGGGUUCGAGGGGCAUGCAAAAUGAUAAAACUAAAAAGAAUGCAUGACAUGUAAUGAACAUGCAAACAUGUACUAACGAGGGGAAAUCCCUAAGGGUCUAGCGUUGGACUAACCCAUUCUAUGAAUUCCGACUAGCGUUGGACUAGUGGAAACGUACAUUCAUCCAUCACAUUCAUUCAGGCUAUGAAAAGCGAGUAGACAUGCCAAACACUUAUAAACACAUAGCACAUAACAUUUAGCAUGCUCGACUAGAUGCAAGGCCCUAACAAAGCAAAUUAACACGUAGUAACUAAGCAUGCAAGACACAUAAGACAAUUAAAGCCCUAACUAUUACAUUUGCUAGUUAGGCACAUGACUUCGAUAGGUCUUCAUUGAAUGCUCCUCCAAGCCCUAUCUAUUACAUUAGGGAGACCCUACUACAAUCUAAAAGGGGGAAAAGGAAUAAAAUAAUUAAAUCCCUAACUAUUACAACUUUGGCAUUCAAGUGCCUUUCAAAUGAUCAAAUUGAACUAAAAUAAAUGUACAAAACCCAUAAAGUAAAUAAAUAAAUGAAUGAAAUGAAUAAAACAUUCAAGACGCAUAAAAUCACACAUGUAAAGUCACAUAAGGCACGUAGAGUCAAAUAUAGUAAGAGAUAAGAGAUUAGGGUGUACCUCCCUUGAAUUAGGGACUCAGGAGAUGGAUUUUACUUAUUUACCCUCCAAAAUAAUAAAAAAGUCAAGGCAUCACUUUAAACAAGAUAUAAUUACAAAAGAUAGACAUGAAAUUGAAUCAAUUAAAUCAUAUAAACAACCUACUUUAAGAAGACAAAACAAUGAAGGAUUUGAUUGCAAAAAUUAACAAAAGUUUGAGGUCAAAAUUUAAAGAAAAAUAAAAUUUAGGGACCUAUUUGCAAUUACAUUAGUGACCCAAUUGAAAGAAGCCUAAAGUUUUUAGGGCCAUAACAUAAUUAAGAAAAAGUCUGAGGACUGAUUUGCAAAUCCGUUUUCUGAUUUCUUAAUGGAUCAGGCCACUGGGCCAACUUUUGUCUAUUUUUGGGCCAAAGAUCCCUUCAGCCUGCCGCAAAGCCCAGAGGCUACAUAUGGGCUGGCCUCUACUUAUCAAUAAAACAAACCCCAUCCAACGAGUGGGCUUUACCUCCUAAGCCCAACCAGAAACCCAAACAAAACAAAUUAAAUCCACUUUUACAACUCCAAGCAAAAAAAAAUUAUUACCCAACCUAAACCAAAACUAAAACCCAACAAGAUUAGCAAAUCAACUAAAAUCAUCAAGCCACAAUUAUGAUUUAAAACUCAGAAUUAAUCUAUCCAAAAAGUCACAAAAAUAUGCAAAUAGAGGAUUAAACUAAAAAGGGUAAAAUUAGUUCAAUUUUCCCAAAUUUUGGGCCACAACAAAAUUAUGCAGAGAUUGAGGGGUGAAACUGAAAUUUUCUGAAAUUAUGCUUCAUGCUUCGCAGAGGCUCUCUUCUUCGAUGCAAAUAAGAGGAAAAGUUUCUGCAACUUUUGAUGCUUCUCAAAUCUAGUAAACUAUCGGACAAAACACUCAAACAUAGCAUCUCAACAUGCAAAUGAUGAAAAUGGAAGAAAUCAACUUCAGAAAUCAUGAUUUUCUUUCCCUCUGCUCGACUAGUGAAUGUUCAGGUUCUGACCAGCUUUGCACUGGCCAGAACUCUUCUCAAUUGCGUACAGAAAUUAUAUACAAAUCUCUUUUUUGGUUCAAAUUUCUGGUUCAGGCAUUUCAACAAACAGCUACUGGGCAUUAAAAGUUUUAGCAAAUCUCUGCUCAAUUGGGGUUAUAAUCAGCCCCCAGAUUGUCAGCAAACCAAAGAAAUUCAAUCCAAACAAACACAUACAUCAUGUGUAUUCAGAAAUUGAAACAAAUUAACAGGAGAAUUGCGCAAAAAAAACGACGGCAGACCCAUUCCAAAAGUUUUACAAGAACCGAAAUUUAAAGAGGGAAAACAAAUAGCUUACCGUACUCCUGCUUGGUGCAAUUUUGUAGGUGAUGAUGGUGGAUUCAGGCGGGAUUAUGGAGGCUCCGGUUGUCCCUUCGCUCUGCUUCCUUUCAGACUCCAUCUUGUCACGCUCAAGCAGCAAAAGACCGUCGACAGGCUCAGGCUUGACAUGGCCCGUUGCCCUCUCGGUCUGCCUCUGCUUACCACCCUUUGCAGCAGCCAUUUCUCCUCCGCGAUGCCUGUCUCAAACUCAACAACGACAGAGGCUGAGGCAGCGGCAUCGACGGCCUUAGCCGCUGGAGUGGAAGAAGUGGAACCCCCCCUGCUGGUUGUUUGACCACGAGGCCGUGACGAUUUGAGCGACGCCGAUGUUGCCGCAGUUCCUCCGAGUUUUAUCCACCGCACCCCUCCUCUCUUUCUUUCUUCUUCUGUUUCUUUUUAGCCUCCGAUGAAACACUCUCCUUUUUCUCUCAACCGAAGCUUUUUCUGAUUUCCGGUUUUUUCCUCUGUUUUUGGCUUCCAAAAUUCCGCCGCCACCUCUCUGUUGCCUUUUUUUUGUUUUUCUCAUCUGAGGGCUCCCUCUCGGUCUUUCUCUCUGUUCCAGCCGCUACUCCCCUUUCUCAUUCUUUCUUAGCUUCCGUUUUACUCUGCCCGAAAUUCCUCCUCCAAGUUCCAGAUUUCAGCCGCAAGCCUCCCCUGUUUUCUUUCCUCUGUUUUUUAGCCGAAACCUUCCCUAUUUCUUGCUCUCUGUUCUUUUUCUCUGUUUUCUUGUGUUCCUCCGUCCUCGAGAUGAAGCCCUGCGUUCUCUUUUCUCUUGCGCAGGCCCUUUCCCUAGCUUUCUUUCAUUUUUCCCGAAGCCCCCCUUUUCCUCAAGCUCUCCGACCGUUUCUGUUUUAGUCUCCUAGAUUCCUUGUUGUUUUCCUUUUUUCGAUUUCUUUCUGUUUCCUCCCCGUCGCUCUUCAGAUUUUUCCGGUUCCUCUAGCCUCUGCCUCUCGUUUGUAAAUCUCUCCUUUGCCGAAGACCCCCUUUUUUCUUUUGCCCUCUGGCCUCUGUUUUUCUUUUUUCAGCCGUAGCUCCUCUCCCCAAAACUCCCUUGUUGCGGCUCUCUUUCUUUUCCUAUUUAUAUGGCACAUUCAACCCUAAAACCCCCAGCCACUUCCUCUGAAAUUACAGCCAAAGGGCUGCCAAGUCCUUCUUUGCAAGCUGCGGCAACACGCAGCUUUUGGCAUGCGUGACUCUUUUUUUUUUUUAUAACUUAAUUAAACAAAAUUGAAAAUAGUAAAAAUAAAUAACAAAACAAAUUAAUUAACAUUAGAAACAACAAUGUGCAAUUUUCAUUUUUCAUUUUCCAUUUUCAUUUUUCCCUCUUUUUUUUUUCUAAAUGAACCAAACGAAAAUAAAAUAAAAGAUAAAUAAAGUAGAAAUGACUAAAAAUAGAUAAAUAAAGCCAAAUAAAACAAAAUUGCUAUUUUUCUUUUUCCUUUUUUUUUCUUUUUUAUGAUUUUUCUUUUUUUCUCUUUUUUCAAGAAAUUCUAUGCUAAAACUUAAAAAUAAAGAUAAAAAUAAAACUAGAAACUAAAAACCAACAAUCGAAUAAAACUAACACGAUAAAUAAAAAACUAAAAAUAAACAGUAAAUGAAAUUACACCAAAAAUUUGGUGUCUACAGUUUGCCUCUCUUUGUCUGAGUUUUGGAAAAACUUGAGACAAAGAAUUAGACACCAAAUACUUACCUGCGUUAUUCGGCUGCGAAUUACUCAAACGAUGGGGACUGACCCCUGACAGGAAAUUUUAAAAUCGGGACUGACCCGAGACAGAAAUUUAAACGGGACUAACACGAAAAGGAAUUUAGACGGGACUGACCCGAACAGAAAUUUAAACGGGACUGACCCGAGACAGAAUUUAAACGGGACUGACCCGAACAGAAUUUAAACGGGACUGACCCGAACAAGAAUUUAAAACGGGACUGACCCGAACAAGAAUUUAAACGGGACUGACCCGAACAGAAAUUUAAACGGGACUGACUCGAACAGAAAUUUAAACGGGACUGACCCGAACAGAAUUUAAAUGGGAUAGACCCACGGGAUAGACCCGGACAGAAAUAUAAAAUUGGGAUAGACCCACGGGAUAGACCCGGACAGAAAUGUAAAAUUGGGAUAGACCCAAACAGAAAUUUAAAUGGGAUAGACCCAUGGGAUAGACCCGAAUUGAAAUGUAAAUAGGAUAGACCCACGGGAUAGACCCGGACAGAAGUGUAAAUGGGAUAGACCCAAACAGAAAUUUAAAUCAUGGGACUGACCCGAAUAAAACUUAAAAUCAUGGGACUGGCCCGAAUAAAAACUAAAAUCAUGGGACUGGCCCGAAUAAAAACUAAAAUUAUGGGACGCACGCUAGUGGGACUGAUCCACGGCUAACGGCGGGGUAAAUGAAAUGCUCACUGGCGGGACAAACCACACGCUCCAGCGGCUGUGAAAAUGAAGUGCUCACUGGCGGGACUAACCUCAUCUCCAGUGGCUAUGAAAAUGAAAUGCUCGCUGGCGGGACAAACCACACGCUCCAGUGGCUAUGAUCAUGAAAUGCUCACUGGCGGGACAAACCUCAGCUCCAGUGGCUAUGAAAAUGAAAAGCUCACUGGCGGGACAAACCACACGCUCCAGUGGCUAUGAAAAUGAAAUGCUCACUGGCGGGACUAACCUCAGCUCCAGUGACUAUGAAAAUGAAAUGCUCACUGGCGGGACAAACCUCAGCUCCAGUGGCUAUGAAAAUGAAAAGCUCACUGGCGGGACAAACCACAUGCUCCAGCAGCUAUGAAAAUGAAAUGCUCACUGGCGGGACUAACCUCAGCUCCAGUGGCUAUGAAAAUGAAAAGCUCACUGGCGGGACAAACCUCAGCUCCAGUGACUAUGAAAAUGAAAUGCUCACUGGCGGGACUAACCUCAGCUCUAGUGGCUAUGAAAAUGAAAUGCUCACUGGCGGGACAAACCUCAGCUCCAGUGGCUAUGAAAUGCUCACUGGCGGGACAAGCCUCAGCUCCAGUGGCUGUGAAAAUGAAAUGCAUACUGGCGGGACUAACCCUAUGCUCCAGUAGCGAUGCAAGUGAAAUGCUCACUGGCGGGACAAACCCAGCUCCAGUAGCAAUGAGAAUGAAAUGCUUACUGGCGGGACAAACCCAGCUCCAGUAGCAAUGAGAAUAAAAUGUUUUGACAAUCGGACAGUGGGAUAAAAUCCGAGCCUGCCGAGGAUAAAAGCGGUCAGUGGGAUAAAAUCCGAGCCUGCCGAGGAUAAAAGCGGUCAGUGGGAUAAAACCCGAGCCUGCCGAGUGACAAAAGCGGUCAGUGGGAUAAAACCCGAGCCUGCCGAGGAUAAAAGCGGUCAGUGGGAUAAAACCCGAGCCUGCCGAGGAUAAAAGCGGUCAGUGGGAUAAAACCCGAGCCUGCCGUGAUGAACUUGAUUUGAUUUUUGACUUUGAUUUUUUUGAUUGACUUUUUUGAUUUUUCCUUUUUUUCUGAUUUUUCUUUUGAUUUUUCCCUUCCUUUCGGAUCUUUCCAAGAGAAUUUUUUCAAAAAUAAUUUGCCCCAGUGUCGGGUCCAUUUUUCCCUCCUUCUUCUUGCUUCUCUUUGCAGUAUCGGCCUACCGCCUCACUGGAUGCUUUUCAUCAUUUUGAACCAUGAAUACCUGCACAGGGGCUUAACAAAGUAUGACAUGCACUCAAAUUUCUUAUUUGGAAAGAACAGCAUGAUUGGUUUGACAUCUUCAAAUGUAUUACAAAAAUUUUGCCCCAGUGUAGGCUAUUUUGCAAAAUCUCUCACACGAAAAUUUGCCCCAGUGUAGGCCUAUUUAAUUGCAAAAAAUUUGUUUGAAUGACCCUCCAUUUAUUUGAACAAAGUGAGCAAUUACUUUUCCUAACAUAGCAUGUGAAGAAAUUGAAAUGUCUUGCUUAAACUCAUAUAGAAAAUUUCAUGAUGAAUUUUUCAAAACAAUGCCAAAUUAAGAAGGAUUUCUUCCCCACUUUAGCAUCAAUGCUUUGGGUGAUGGGUCACUAUUUCUUGUUGGCUCGUCUGUCAGGACCAACCAAGUGACUUUAUUUGGAAAUGGCUAAAGGAAAAUGGGAGGUCAAGAUUUGUCUUAUUCUUGUGCCCAAAAUUGUAUGUAAUCCCUUCAAUGUCACAUCUUAGUGAAAACAAAGAGUUUGUCACCCUUAUUUUCAAGAAAACUUAGUCAACAUACAAGCUUUCUAGGCAUGCAACGUAUGGACAGAAGUGAUAGCUAAACAUGUGGAAACGGGUUAUACCCUUAUGAUCACAAAUGAUUUGAUGAAUUUCUUAUGAGCAUGAUCCUCACUUUGGAUUGUCAUGAAGGAAUAAGUCAACGAUGGACUUUAUGAACUUGUAAUGUGGCUUGAAAACGAUAGUUAAAGAAUAAGACUUUCAGGGAUAUCGCACCAAAAAUCGCAUUUUUCCAAAAUUGCCCCUAUUUUGAACUCAAAAGAUUUCAGACUUUGUUUGGAUUUUCUCAUCAUUCCCCAGGGACUUCAGCGUCGAAUUUUUCUGCAUCUUCUUGCAUUUACUUUUCUUGCUUUGCUUUUUGCCUCUUUUUCCUUUCCCUCAAUUUGGUGGGUUUUCACAUGGUGAGUAGCGUCAACCCCAUACCCAAGCAAUUCAUCAAUACAGCUAAAAUUUUCCGGCAUCAGAAAUUUUCUUGACAGGGCCAUUGCAAAGAACAGAAGUCAGGACUUUCAGCUUUUGUAAUGGGGUCAGGUGGGGUGUUUAGAAAAGUUAAGGCUUGAAAGCAGAUUUCAAGAGUGGUUUAAAGAAUCUGAGAUCGCAUUGUUGUGUCAACCCUAUUUUAUGGCUAAAUCAGAAUUUUGCCCCAAUUUAUGCUCAAUUUUCUUUUGAUUUUUCGACCUUUUGCCAUUCUUUUGAAUUUUCACAAAAUUUGCCCCAAUUUAUGCUUAACCGAGGUUUUCUUUUUCCCUUUUGAUUUUGUUGCUUUAUCACUUUUCACCUCUUGGGACUUUCCUUUUCAACUCAAACUUGCCCCAGUGUGGGGUUUGCGAUUCUCAGGGGUUGCCAAAUGAGGUAUUUUAUUCUGAAGGCUCAAAAGGGAUAACUAGGGAUAGAAUGUUUGAUUGGAAAAGAACAGGACCUGACUUUUAUUCCGUUCCUUACAAUAACUCUGAAAGGAAACUUUCAUUAAUGAGAAAUUUCUGGCAUGUAUCUGAAUUAAUUGACUGAGGAAGACUCUCCAUAAGUGGUUCGUCGGACAAAACCCUUCCUUUUCUUUUUUCCUUUUUCAAAAUUCCCCAAUCUCCUUCCCCAAUGUGGGGUGCGAUCAUAUGUGCACUUGAAAAGAACCACCAAUUUUUAACUCAAAUGAGGAUGCAAGGGAUGAUCAGUGUUUAGGUUGAAGAAACGACGGCCAAAGUAUCAUUCUUACACCUCAUGACAACCAAGUAAACGAAUUGCUCAUUGAGAAUCCAUUCCCUUUUUGAAAAUCUUCCCAAUGUAGGGUAGUGACCAUUAAGGCUCUUAUUUGAAGCGAAAUUAUUCUUUCAAAGGCUCAAAUGGGAGAGCAAAUGAUAAAAUGUGUAUAGGUAGAGAAAAGAAUGCUCGAAGUAUCAUUCCAAAUUUUCAAAACAAACAAGAGUAAUGCACAUUUUUGCUUUCACUUAGAUGUGAACUGAAUCGGUUAAACACAAUGGAUUUUUUCAAGCAAAGAUGGCCCCAAUUUAUCAAUCAAUGUGACUGAUUUUAUUUUGGGGUCAAAUGAAGGAGAAAAGGAAUCUCAUAGGGCCUUUUGAGUGACCUCUUUUAAUUCUGAGCACUCUUGUUGUGAAUUUUCAGGCAGGAGAUUGAAAAAAUUCCAAUUUAGUCUUAUUUCUUAAAAUUCAUCAUGAAAUCUCCAAUGAAUAAGAAUAAAGAAUGAAAUGUACACAAAACAAUGAUUGUCCAAAAAUUUUAUUACUGAAAAAGUUUGAAACAAAAUUUUCUCAUUCAAUUACAAUACAAAUGAGAAGAGAGAAACUUGUAAAGAGCUCCACAUAUACACUUUUUGUCUCCUUUUCUUUUGGAACAAAAUGUAUUAACAAAUCAAAUAUGCAAAAUUUUCCUUUGGAAAUAAUUACAAAAUCUCUCAGAUGCUUUAGCGUAGAGCUUCCAGAUAGAUCAUUUAUGUUUUCAUUGUAGAAUCUGUCCAAGAAUCACACAAUACUUGCAAUUUUGACACCUUAUUAGAUCAGAAGUGUCAUCAGAUAUAGAAAAAUAUUUUCCCUUUUAUUGAAGUGUUUUUUAUGAAUGCAAGGGAAGGGGGGAAAACAAAAGAAAAAUACCCUGAGUUAGUAAGAAAGAAUAUAAAAUCGGUAUGCAUGUCCUAUGGGGGGACCCUUUUUGUGCCAAGGGUAGGCCUAGCAUGAAAAUGCAAUCCUCUAGGGUAGGCACUAUACCAUACCUGAUGGAUCUGAUCAACUCAUUGAGUGAAAAAUAAUUUUAAAAAAUUUGGUCGAUUGGAGUGACGAGAGACACUUGUCAAAAUGAGGACAACGUGCGAAUGGGUUGAUCACUUUUGAUUGAUACAAGAAUUUGCAAAACGCACGGGUUUGAUCUUGACGAACUUCCUAUCGAAGAGAUUCGAACUCGUUAACAAAUUUUCUCAGUGAAGCACGGAUCAAAACUCCAACUGAUGAUUUUCUCAAAAUCGACUAGGUUUCCCUAUUUGAAAUUCGACAUUGAGACCCAAAUUGGUCAAAUGGGUUGAAUGAAGUUGACCAUUUAUAAAAAUCGACCGAAUUACCCUAAAAAGGGAAACGGGUCAAAUGAAUUGAGUGAAAUUUAAAAACUUACUCAAAAUUGGCCGGAUCGUCCUAAAAAGGAAUCUGAUCGCAUGAAAUUGAGAAUCUUAUUCAAAAUGAACCGGUUCAUCCUAAAAACUGAAAUUGGUCAAAUGAAUUAGCGAUUUAUUCAAAAUCGACCAGGUGACCCUAAAAAGGGUAAAUUGGUCAAAUGACCCUAAAAAGGGUAAAUUGGUCAAAUGAAUUGACGAUUUAUUCAAAAUCGACCGGAUGACCCUAAAAAGGGUAAAUUGGUCAAAUGAAUGGUUUAUUCAAAAUUGAUUAUGAAUUGACAAAAUGGAUCGAUUGAAUCGUCCGGCCAUUGGUGGCUUCAAAAAAAUUAGUCUAUCAGCCUUCUAAAAUCACGAUUUGGCCUCAAUUUAUCGUCUCAACAAUAAGGAAUCAUUUGUGAAUUUUCUUCAAAUUAAUGUCCUUUUACGCAAGGGAAUUUUACCAAUUAGGUUUAAAAAUGGCUAAAAAGUGAUUAUCAGACGCUCAUAUUCUAACGUGCAAAAGUUGCUUUAUUCCCUUCAAAAAGAUCGAAUCCUUACCUUACCUUGUGCACUACCCCUUCAGAUGGUACGAGAAAGGUAAACGUGCAAGUCUCAUUGGAUUAUAUAUCCGAGACAUGGGGUGGCUUAUUCCUAACCACGGGAUUCCCUAUGUGGUAUUCCCUUUCUAUGGUUUAUGCGUGAUGCCAUUUAUUAAAGCAAUGUAAAUAUGCAACAAAUAUGGCCUAAAGGGCAUAAAUAAUGCAUCGGGGGGAAGAGGCCUAAAAUGAAAUGUACUUAUUAAAAAUUAAGCAUAAUGACUGAAAUUUAAACAUGUGAGCUAUCUAGUGGGUAAGUCACUAAAAGAGUGCCAAAGAGGCCUCUUAUUGCUAAGGCAAAUGAAUGCAAGCCAAGAAAACAAAAAGAAUGGUUAGUGCAAUUGAUAGUACACAUAACACAUUGGGAGCAAUUAAGAAAAGAAAUACAAAUAAAAACAAGUAAAAGGGGUGGAACCCCUUCCCUCGUGCCUAAUGUGCUUAAUAGGGUAAGGUCGACUCUACCCUAGGCGAGUCUAACAUGGAUGCAUGAGGCUGGGGCUCACUAAUGCAACUAGACUCGAUAAGGCUUCGGCUCCCAAGCCUUCAGACCUAAGGGAAUGGGUCAUCAAUCCCAAGACCCUCGGUCGGUGGCUCGAGCGAUCCCCUAGGUAUUGCUAUGGGCGCAACGCACACCAUCCACAUACCUAGAGAAACCAUUCCUAGUCCUACAAGGCGGUGUGGGAAAGAGCCCACGAAAAAUAAAAAUAAAAUGGGAUAACAAUAAGUAAACGUGCACGUAUGAAGUGUUCCCUAUUUUGAGGGAAAGGGUUGAGAACCAACGCGAGGUUCUAGGGUGACACACCCCCCCAAAUGCAAUGCAAGCGCGAGAUAAACAAGUAAACAUACAUCCAAUCAACCAAUCAUACAUUCGUGAGCGAGGGAGUAGUUUGAGACGCGAGUGAAAUGCAAAAAAAUCCUAAAAAAAAUGCAACCCUAAAACACCCAAAUGUGAUAUAUGAAAAGGUUAAAAGAAGAAAAAGGUUGAUUAAAUCAAAUUUGCUCGGACUCUCAAAUGUCCCCAGUGGAAUCGCCAACUGUCGCGCCCCAUUUUUUGAUAAAUAAAUAAAAAUGGUUUAAAAAAAUAUAUUUUUUGUGAUUGGAAAAUGAAUUGUGAUUUAAAAGAAAAAAUGGGUCUAAAUGGGGGGUUGAGAAUGCGACGAUUUGACCCAAAAUUAUAGUUUAAAAAGGGUUUUUGAAAUAAAAAUUAGAGUCGCCACUUGGUAAUGAGUUAAGGUGUACCAAGUCACCUAAAAAUGAAUUUUUAGAAAAAAUAGGAAAAAGUAGUAAGAAACCCCUUUUAAACGACUUCUAGUUCACGUAAACCAACGAAAAAGGUUCGGGAGUCACAUUUGACGAAGGGGAAGGCAAGGAUAAAAAUCCAAGGCACCCCUUCGACCUAGCCAAGGCUAGUUGCGUUGAUUUAAUCAAAGAUUUUCUUGUUUUAACCAAAGAAUUUAUUACAUUUGGAUGUACUACAUGAAUGCAAACCCUAGGCCUAGGGGUAUUGGGGAAAUUUCUCUUCAAAGGUUGAGUGGUGCCAAUCACAUUAAUUGUGAAGCCCAAUAACGAUCCUUUGAAGAAGUCACGAAUAAUGCGAGUGGGAUGCAAAUGAAUGGAAUGCAUGUAUGCAAUGUGAGGACAUGAGCUUGAAAAAGUAAUAAAAGACAAUAAAUAUGUAAAUGAAAAUGUGCACGUGAGUGGGCAAGGUACGGUAUGUGAAAUGAUAAUAUGAAGUGCAUGUGUGCAAGUGAUGAUAAAAGUGUUCGUGUGCAAAUAAAGAAACAUAAAGGUGCACGUGUGCAAAAUGGGAGGAAAAAUGAAAGUGUGAUGAGGGUAUAAAAUGGUAGAGUGGAUUUAAAGAUGCAUGAGCCUAGGGAAUUCAUGCAUAUUGGGUACGGGGAGACCUAAAUCGUGACUCAAUUUGCCCUUUUAUAGAGGGAAUACAAGCGUGCUAAGACUUAGAAAAAGCCACACUCGUCUAUAUCCCAUAUUUAAGGGGACUCUCAAGCAAAUGAACCCUAUAACUAGCAUGAAAAUGCAAAAAUCCUAAAAUGGAGGGAAAAGGGGUUCGAGGGGCAUGCAAAAUGAUAAAACUAAAAAGAAUGCAUGACAUGUAAUGAACAUGCAAACAUGUACUAACGAGGGGAAAUCCCUAAGGGUCUAGCGUUGGACUAACCCAUUCUAUGAAUUCCGACUAGCGUUGGACUAGUGGAAACGUACAUUCAUCCAUCACAUUCAUUCAGGCUAUGAAAAGCGAGUAGACAUGCCAAACACUUAUAAACACAUAGCACAUAACAUUUAGCAUGCUCGACUAGAUGCAAGGCCCUAACAAAGCAAAUUAACACGUAGUAACUAAGCAUGCAAGACACAUAAGACAAUUAAAGCCCUAACUAUUACAUUUGCUAGUUAGGCACAUGACUUCGAUAGGUCUUCAUUGAAUGCUCCUCCAAGCCCUAUCUAUUACAUUAGGGAGACCCUACUACAAUCUAAAAGGGGGAAAAGGAAUAAAAUAAUUAAAUCCCUAACUAUUACAACUUUGGCAUUCAAGUGCCUUUCAAAUGAUCAAAUUGAACUAAAAUAAAUGUACAAAACCCAUAAAGUAAAUAAAUAAAUGAAUGAAAUGAAUAAAACAUUCAAGACGCAUAAAAUCACACAUGUAAAGUCACAUAAGGCACGUAGAGUCAAAUAUAGUAAGAGAUAAGAGAUUAGGGUGUACCUCCCUUGAAUUAGGGACUCAGGAGAUGGAUUUUACUUAUUUACCCUCCAAAAUAAUAAAAAAGUCAAGGCAUCACUUUAAACAAGAUAUAAUUACAAAAGAUAGACAUGAAAUUGAAUCAAUUAAAUCAUAUAAACAACCUACUUUAAGAAGACAAAACAAUGAAGGAUUUGAUUGCAAAAAUUAACAAAAGUUUGAGGUCAAAAUUUAAAGAAAAAUAAAAUUUAGGGACCUAUUUGCAAUUACAUUAGUGACCCAAUUGAAAGAAGCCUAAAGUUUUUAGGGCCAUAACAUAAUUAAGAAAAAGUCUGAGGACUGAUUUGCAAAUCCGUUUUCUGAUUUCUUAAUGGAUCAGGCCACUGGGCCAACUUUUGUCUAUUUUUGGGCCAAAGAUCCCUUCAGCCUGCCGCAAAGCCCAGAGGCUACAUAUGGGCUGGCCUCUACUUAUCAAUAAAACAAACCCCAUCCAACGAGUGGGCUUUACCUCCUAAGCCCAACCAGAAACCCAAACAAAACAAAUUAAAUCCACUUUUACAACUCCAAGCAAAAAAAAAUUAUUACCCAACCUAAACCAAAACUAAAACCCAACAAGAUUAGCAAAUCAACUAAAAUCAUCAAGCCACAAUUAUGAUUUAAAACUCAGAAUUAAUCUAUCCAAAAAGUCACAAAAAUAUGCAAAUAGAGGAUUAAACUAAAAAGGGUAAAAUUAGUUCAAUUUUCCCAAAUUUUGGGCCACAACAAAAUUAUGCAGAGAUUGAGGGGUGAAACUGAAAUUUUCUGAAAUUAUGCUUCAUGCUUCGCAGAGGCUCUCUUCUUCGAUGCAAAUAAGAGGAAAAGUUUCUGCAACUUUUGAUGCUUCUCAAAUCUAGUAAACUAUCGGACAAAACACUCAAACAUAGCAUCUCAACAUGCAAAUGAUGAAAAUGGAAGAAAUCAACUUCAGAAAUCAUGAUUUUCUUUCCCUCUGCUCGACUAGUGAAUGUUCAGGUUCUGACCAGCUUUGCACUGGCCAGAACUCUUCUCAAUUGCGUACAGAAAUUAUAUACAAAUCUCUUUUUUGGUUCAAAUUUCUGGUUCAGGCAUUUCAACAAACAGCUACUGGGCAUUAAAAGUUUUAGCAAAUCUCUGCUCAAUUGGGGUUAUAAUCAGCCCCCAGAUUGUCAGCAAACCAAAGAAAUUCAAUCCAAACAAACACAUACAUCAUGUGUAUUCAGAAAUUGAAACAAAUUAACAGGAGAAUUGCGCAAAAAAAACGACGGCAGACCCAUUCCAAAAGUUUUACAAGAACCGAAAUUUAAAGAGGGAAAACAAAUAGCUUACCGUACUCCUGCUUGGUGCAAUUUUGUAGGUGAUGAUGGUGGAUUCAGGCGGGAUUAUGGAGGCUCCGGUUGUCCCUUCGCUCUGCUUCCUUUCAGACUCCAUCUUGUCACGCUCAAGCAGCAAAAGACCGUCGACAGGCUCAGGCUUGACAUGGCCCGUUGCCCUCUCGGUCUGCCUCUGCUUACCACCCUUUGCAGCAGCCAUUUCUCCUCCGCGAUGCCUGUCUCAAACUCAACAACGACAGAGGCUGAGGCAGCGGCAUCGACGGCCUUAGCCGCUGGAGUGGAAGAAGUGGAACCCCCCCUGCUGGUUGUUUGACCACGAGGCCGUGACGAUUUGAGCGACGCCGAUGUUGCCGCAGUUCCUCCGAGUUUUAUCCACCGCACCCCUCCUCUCUUUCUUUCUUCUUCUGUUUCUUUUUAGCCUCCGAUGAAACACUCUCCUUUUUCUCUCAACCGAAGCUUUUUCUGAUUUCCGGUUUUUUCCUCUGUUUUUGGCUUCCAAAAUUCCGCCGCCACCUCUCUGUUGCCUUUUUUUUGUUUUUCUCAUCUGAGGGCUCCCUCUCGGUCUUUCUCUCUGUUCCAGCCGCUACUCCCCUUUCUCAUUCUUUCUUAGCUUCCGUUUUACUCUGCCCGAAAUUCCUCCUCCAAGUUCCAGAUUUCAGCCGCAAGCCUCCCCUGUUUUCUUUCCUCUGUUUUUUAGCCGAAACCUUCCCUAUUUCUUGCUCUCUGUUCUUUUUCUCUGUUUUCUUGUGUUCCUCCGUCCUCGAGAUGAAGCCCUGCGUUCUCUUUUCUCUUGCGCAGGCCCUUUCCCUAGCUUUCUUUCAUUUUUCCCGAAGCCCCCCUUUUCCUCAAGCUCUCCGACCGUUUCUGUUUUAGUCUCCUAGAUUCCUUGUUGUUUUCCUUUUUUCGAUUUCUUUCUGUUUCCUCCCCGUCGCUCUUCAGAUUUUUCCGGUUCCUCUAGCCUCUGCCUCUCGUUUCUAAAUCUCUCCUUUGCCGAAGACCCCCUUUUUUCUUUUGCCCUCUGGCCUCUGUUUUUCUUUUUUCAGCCGUAGCUCCUCUCCCCAAAACUCCCUU